GACGAACGCUGGCGGCGUGCUUAACACAUGCAAGUCGAACGGAAAGGCCCUGCUUUUGUGGGGUGCUCGAGUGGCGAACGGGAGAGUAACACGAGAGUAACCUGCCCUUGACUUUGGGAUAACUUCAGGAAACUGGGGCUAAUACCGGAUAGGAGCUCCUGCUGUAUGGUGGGGGUUGGAAAGUUUCGGCGGUUGGGGAUGGACUCGCGGCUUAUCAGCUUGUUGGUGGGGUCGUGGCUUACCAAGGCUUUGACGGGUAGCUGGCCUGAGAGGGUGACCGGCCACAUUGGGACUGAGAUACGGCCCAGACUCCUGCGGAAGGCAGCAGUGGGGAAUAUUGCACGAUGGGCGGAAGCCUGAUGCAGCAACGCCGCGUGCGGGAUGACGGCCUUCGGGUUGUAAACCACUUUCGCCUGUGACGAAGCGUUAGUGACGGUAAUGGGUAAAGAAGCACCGGCUAACUACGUG
This 468-nucleotide ribosomal RNA is filed under the name uncultured bacterium. Its description in RNAcentral is "partial 16S ribosomal RNA". It matches the Rfam family "Bacterial small subunit ribosomal RNA", at positions 28 to 507 of the family's 1533-position model. The record is from RNAcentral.